CACCAUGGUCCCCUUGAAUUAGAAAUACCCAUUGAACAAAUCACCUCAUUUCUUAUAUAAAUAUAUAAACCACCUCAUUUCUUCUGUGUUCCUGCCAGGAUUGAGGGUUUCUAUACAGACCAGCAAUAAACCAGAAGAAAAUGGAGCUGCUUUAUGGUUUUCUCUGUCCCUUUUCUUCCCAUAAAAUGUGCUGCAGUCAUAUGAGGAUGGAAAAACAUCUCAGCAACAAUCCAUAUGGAAAAGGAUUUGGUGAGGCCUCCUUUGAAUCCCUGUUCUCUGCUUCUGCUUUAUUUCACUGAGGAAAGUCUCGUGUGCCAGAAAUGCAAAAAGAAUGCAUGAAUAGCAGAAAGCAGCUUAAAUAGUUAGAAAUAGGAGUGGAGCUGCUUGAUGAAGGUUCAUCACUCAAAAUGAAAUAGGAAAAGAAAACACGGAGCAAAAGAAAGGGAGAAAAGUUGAAAUGUAAAUUCAAAGUUUAAAAUUCUUGCCUCAUUUACAAAUGGGGAAUUGUAAUGGUGGGGAAUUUGUUUAGAAAUAGAUUAAUGUUAUGUUCUCUG
RNAcentral lists this long non-coding RNA (554 nucleotides) under Zonotrichia albicollis (white-throated sparrow). RNAcentral describes it as "lncRNA (ENSZALG00000011890.1)". Lineage: Eukaryota; Metazoa; Chordata; Aves; Passeriformes; Passerellidae. The record is from RNAcentral.